GACGACUCUCUCUGACAGGCAGAUGUGGGUCUCUAUGCUUAUGGAAAGAAAGGUGUAAAACAAGGCAAGGCCACCUCUUUACCGAUUCAAGUACGAAAGAACUGAUGAGGGUGAGGAAGCUGAGCUUUCUCCAACAAUCUUCUCAAAGGAUGGCAGGAGAGGUGACAGGAAGAGGGUUGAAAGAUGUGUGAAGCACAACAGCGUGGUAGAGACGGAGUACGAUGAUGUCGAUGUGAAGGAAGUGCAUGUUGUGCAAAUACUCCCUUCAAGGCCCAUAAAAGAUGAGGAGCACGUAUAUGCAGACAGGGAUCUUCCAAGAUCAUCAUCCAGCCACAGCCUCUUGUCCAUCUGCUCGGGCGACGCCAACGUCGACACAACAACAGGCAAGAUACGAGACAUAAAUGUGAAGGAAUUAGGAGAUUUCUUUGCAGUGGAAGGGUGUGUGAAAUGUAUAGAGAAAUUCUAUUUUAGAUUUGGUCUUUCAUCAGUACAAAACAUUUUAGGUAAGUGUUCCAUCAAAAAGCCAUUUAUUAUAUUUGAUUUUAUUGUUGUUUUGGUUUUACUUUUUCUCCCCACAAAUUGUACAAGUAAAUGCAGUUUCUGACCAACUAAUAAAAUAGCUUGGAGUGGAGGAUCA
RNAcentral lists this long non-coding RNA (637 nucleotides) under Gouania willdenowi (blunt-snouted clingfish). RNAcentral describes it as "lncRNA (ENSGWIG00000021625.1)". Lineage: Eukaryota; Metazoa; Chordata; Actinopteri; Blenniiformes; Gobiesocidae. The record is from RNAcentral.